This is a long non-coding RNA of Zingiber officinale, 1195 nucleotides long. RefSeq lists it as uncharacterized. NCBI's taxonomy places the organism in Eukaryota, Viridiplantae, Streptophyta, Magnoliopsida, Zingiberales, Zingiberaceae. The transcript has 7 exons. The record is from RefSeq and is a predicted model, not a curated record.
UUCCCAACUUCCCCCAUAGUCGCCGCACAAGGCAUCCUUUUUGCUCCUUCCCUCUCCUGUUGCGAGAAGCAAGAAGCAAGAUCCCUGCUCACCAAGUAAUCUUAAUUUCUUUUCUUGCUUAGUAAAUAGUUCUGUUGCCGACGAAGAUGCAGCGAGUGUCGACCGUCGAGGCAAGGAGGGGCGACCACCCCUCGCCAGGCAACGAGCGACCGCCUCUUGGUCGAUCGGCUCGCAAGAUGCUGCAAGCGAGGCAGUGAGGCAAUGAGGCAAGGAGCAAGAAGCAAGAUCUCUGCUCGCCUGACCGCCGAGGCAAGGAGGCGUGACCGCUCCUCACUGAGCAACGAGCGACCACCUCGCGGCUGGUCGGCUCACAAGCUGCUGCACGUGAGGUGAUGAGGAAAGGAGCAAGAAGCAAGAUCUCUGCUCGCCAGGUAGCUGUAAUUUUUUUUCUUAUUUAGUAAAUAGUUCUGUUGCUAGCGAAGAUGCAGCAAGCGCCGACCGCCGAGGCAAGGAGGGGCGACCGCUCCUCGCCAAGCAACGAGCCACCACCUCACGAUCAAUCGUCUUGCAAGCUACUACAAACGAGGCAACGAGGAAAGGAUCAAGAAGCAAGAUCUCUCUUCGCCAGUCGAAGAGGUGGCAGGCAACACUGAAGGAUAGUGAAAGAAAGAGCAAGACUAUUAAAUAGGUUUAAGAGCAACUACACAUAUAAUGGGAUGUGCUCUUUGUUGAAUAGGACUGCAUACUUGAUGCUUGUGAAGAUGAGUACAGGGGAAUGAUUGUCAAUCCAGAGACGUUACCAUGAAACACAAAUGUGUUUGCUCAUGCUCUUGAGGCAUUCAUUUCAAGCUGGAACAGAAGGGGAAGAAAGGGAUUUGCCUUAAGGUAUCUUUGGGUCGCUCUGAGUUUGUUCCUAUUGCUAUAAAGGCUUGUCUUACUCGUGCCAAUGGAAGUCCUUCAAGUAAUAUUGUAGCAGAAAGAUUGGUGAUGGGUACUUGGAUUUUUGUGAAGCAAUACGACAGUUGAAGAUGGUCUGCCUAGUUAGUUUUUAGUUUAUAAGACUGUUCUAAAACUUAAUAUUUUGAGUGUAGUGUGUUGUCAAUUUUGGAUGUAAAGAACUUGUCGUUAGUUUGCGUUUGUAAUUUUGACUCAAAUAUUUGUUGGAUGAAUUUAGAUUAUCUAUUUGCACUUUAAA